RNAcentral lists this non-coding RNA (99 nucleotides) under Oscillibacter valericigenes. RNAcentral's name for it is "THF-I sequence". It matches the Rfam family "THF (Tetrahydrofolate) riboswitch aptamer". Rfam says of the family: THF riboswitch presents a pseudoknot that joins P1-P2 and the loop of P3 and two THF binding. Lineage: Bacteria; Bacillati; Bacillota; Clostridia; Eubacteriales; Oscillospiraceae. The record is from RNAcentral.
GACAGAGUAGGGACAGCGCGUCAAGUGCCGGCGAAUGGGAAGUUGUCGCCGGACGAAGAAACCUCGGCGUUUCGCGUUGCUGUACCCGCAUCCGCUGCC